UACGGAGGGGGCUAGCGUUGUUCGGAAUUACUGGGCGUAAAGCGCACGUAGGCGGACUGGAAAGUCAGAGGUGAAAUCCCAGGGCUCAACCUUGGAACUGCCUUUGAAACUCCUGGUCUUGAGGUCGAGAGAGGUGAGUGGAAUUCCGAGCGUAGAGGUGAAAUUCGUAGAUAUUCGGAGGAACACCAGUGGCGAAGGCGGCUCACUGGCUCGAUACUGACGCUGAGGUGCGAAAGCGUGGGGAGCAAACAGG
This 253-nucleotide ribosomal RNA is filed under the name uncultured bacterium. RNAcentral's name for it is "partial 16S ribosomal RNA". It matches the Rfam family "Bacterial small subunit ribosomal RNA", at positions 524 to 776 of the family's 1533-position model. The record is from RNAcentral.